UGAUUAACCCUUGAAGAUCUUGAGGAUUCAUGGGAUAGGGAGAUAACAAGAAUUAACACUCUGUUCCAGAAAGAUCGCCAUACACUAGCUUAUGACAAAGGCUGGAGAGUGCGCACAUACUUUGUUGAUGUUAAAUAACGAAACAGGUCGUCCAUACGAGUGUCUGGGCUGGGUAGAAG
Asparagus officinalis (garden asparagus) is the source of this 179-nucleotide long non-coding RNA. RefSeq lists it as uncharacterized. NCBI's taxonomy places the organism in Eukaryota, Viridiplantae, Streptophyta, Magnoliopsida, Asparagales, Asparagaceae. The record is from RefSeq and is a predicted model, not a curated record. The transcript has 3 exons.